UGUAUCUCAUCAUUAUUAUUAAUUAAUAACAUUACAUAUAUAAAUAUUAUUAAAGCACACUUUUUCUAUAAACUCUCUUAACCAGAAUGCUUCUUUUUUCAUCACAGACAAUGGUUUUUGGUUUUUUUUUUUUUUUGAAAAAAAGGCUAUGGUUUUGGGUAUUUACGUAAUGUAAUCCAUGUCCAAAACAUCAGCUUAUCGAUUAAAAACAACAGUUUUUUUUUGCUAAACAGUAAACCCCACAAAAAAAAUAGUAGAGUUUUACAAAACUUCAAACUCACCAAAAGAAUACUCUACAAGCACACGUCGUAGAGCUGCAUGACCCUAUAACCAUCUACAACAAUGGCGUGUUGUUGAUUCAUAGAGUAUCAAACAUAAACCUAUUUUUAAAAUUAUUUCAAAACAUUAUGCACAUGUUAAUGGUGUGUUGUUAAUUCAAAAAAUCAAAGUUAAUAAUUGUUUAUUUAAAAUCAUAUUAACCAUUAUAUAACCCAACUUAUAUAUUCGAUGAAAGAGGUUUUUGCAAAUAUGACUCAAAACUUGAAGUCAAACACAAAACUAACUCAUGUUUUUUUGGAACUUUGGCUUGCCUAUUUCAUCCUUAAAGUUCAGAUUAUUCACGAAAAUGCCAUCACUUUUUUUUUUUUUUUUUUUUUCAAAAAUGCAUAUUUUACUCUAUCACCCUCA
RNAcentral lists this long non-coding RNA (687 nucleotides) under Brassica napus (rape). RNAcentral's name for it is "long non-coding RNA (BNAP_LNC018643)". Lineage: Eukaryota; Viridiplantae; Streptophyta; Magnoliopsida; Brassicales; Brassicaceae. The record is from RNAcentral.